GAUGAAGAACGUAGCGAAAUGCGAUAAGUAAUGUGAAUUGCAGAAUUCAGUGAAUCAUCGAAUCUUUGAACGCACCUUGCGCCCUUUGGCCAUUCCGAAGGGCAUGCCUGUUUGAGUAUCAUGAACACCUCAACUCUUCAUGGUUUUCCGUGAUGAGCUUGGACUUUGGGGGUCUUGCUGGCCUAUGGUCAGCUCCUCUAAAAUAAAUCAGCUUGCCAGUGUUUGGUGGGUAUCACAGGUGUGAUAACUAUCUACGCUUGUGGUUUUCCACCAGGUAACCUUUAGCAGUGGAGGUUCGCUGGAGCUCACAGAUGUGUCUCUCCUCAGUGAGGACAGCUCUUUGAAUGUUUGAUCUCAAAUCAGGUAGGACUACCCGCUGAACUUAAGCAUAUCAAUAAGCGGAGGA
RNAcentral lists this unclassified non-coding RNA (406 nucleotides) under soil metagenome. RNAcentral describes it as "partial contains 5.8S ribosomal RNA, internal transcribed spacer 2, and large subunit ribosomal RNA". The stretch from base 1 to 121 matches the Rfam family "5.8S ribosomal RNA", at positions 35 to 154 of the family's 154-position model. The record is from RNAcentral.